AGUGAACGCUGGCGGUAGGCCUAACACAUGCAAGUCGAACGGCAGCACAGUAAGAGCUUGCUCUUACGGGUGGCGAGUGGCGGACGGGUGAGGAAUACAUCGGAAUCUACUUUUUCGUGGGGGAUAACGUAGGGAAACUUACGCUAAUACCGCAUACGACCUACGGGUGAAAGCAGGGGAUCUUCGGACCUUGCGCGAUUGAAUGAGCCGAUGUCGGAUUAGCUAGUUGGCGGGGUAAAGGCCCACCAAGGCGACGAUCCGUAGCUGGUCUGAGAGGAUGAUCAGCCACACUGGAACUGAGACACGGUCCAGACUCCUACGGGAGGCAGCAGUGGGGAAUAUUGGACAAUGGGCGCAAGCCUGAUCCGGCCAUACCGCGUGGGUGAAGAAGGCCUUCGGGUUGUAAAGCCCUUUUGUUGGGAAAGAAAAGCAGCAGGUUAAUACCCCGCUGUUCUGACGGUGCCCAAAGAAUAAGCACCGGCUAACUUCGUG
Molecule: ribosomal RNA, 492 nt
Filed under: uncultured bacterium
Lineage: Bacteria
Description: partial 16S ribosomal RNA
Rfam family: Bacterial small subunit ribosomal RNA
Source: RNAcentral